CUCACUGUGGCUUUUAGUGUCCUUCAUCUUUGUACUUGAGGGCUCGAUGCAGUGGUACUUCUGAAUUAGAAACUAAGACUGGUCAUUGGGUUCUUCAUGCCAGGGGAAAAUGGCAGAAAAGUGGGAUACUAUAUAGCUAGGGUGACUAACCAUGCCUAGUAAGAAUACUAUGAUUACUGCUGUGCAGUUAGGGAUCCACUAAGUUCCUAUCAUAUUCCUCCUUUCUUUUAUGUUCUUGGUGGAAAAGGUUAGUGGGAGACCGUUGUCCCUAUGUAGGUAAGACCACUAAGAAUGGAGGCCAUUCAAGAAUCAAGGUUCAGGCUACCCAUCAGGGACAUAGCUAAGGGACUAGCAGAAGGCAAGGAGAUCACAGAAUGGGCAUAAAUACCAGCUCUGGCUUCAGGAGAAGUGGCAGAUAGGAAGAAUAUGGCCUGUUUCCUUGAUUGUUGUGACAUGACUUAGAAAAAAGCAUCUUCUAUCCAUAUUGUUUGUAAAGUGUGUUGUUGAUGGUUAAGUAUUCCUUUUGGACUAUAGACUGAAGCAGAAUUUGAGGGGGAAUAAAUAUUAUCCAAAGUAGAACUCCUCAAAGUGGGGAACUGCAGGCUGGUGCCAGUGUUUGAACUGUUUAUUAUUGGUUCAUGAUGCAAGAAGUAUAGAAAUAGAGUUUUUAAAAUUACUCUGUUACAUUGCUCUCAAGGUUUCUGUGCCUACUGUAUAUAAUAAUAAAAAAAAUCAAGUGCUUCAUUUUAUGUUUAAUUUCAUUUAUCUAGCAAUUCAUCUUUAUUGCAUUUUCCCAGUGAAUUUGUCCAUGACAGAUUAGAAACAAAAAUUUACUGUUCCUUUACUAUAGAUGGUUUGAGAAAUGCUGAUCUUGUUGAGCAGUGUCCUUGUGAAAUCUAUUAUUACUCCUGGAUGCAGCAGCUUGUGUAACUUGGACUGCUUCCCACAGAGAAGGAGCAUCUGGAUUUCUUUUUGCCAUGUUCCAUUACAGAGGCUGCCUCUUUUUGCCAUUCUCCCCCACAUCUGGAAUCCAGCCAAAACGUACCAGAACAAGAUGCUUCUAACAUUUGAGCCCUUUUGUAAGGAUGCUGAUUGCAACUUGGGUGACUUCAGUUUAAUCCAAGGUGGAAGAUUUCUGCUGCUUUUGGGGAAGGAAAUAAAUGUCUAA
RNAcentral lists this long non-coding RNA (1168 nucleotides) under Felis catus (domestic cat). Its description in RNAcentral is "lncRNA (ENSFCAG00000051570.1)". The record is from RNAcentral. Lineage: Eukaryota; Metazoa; Chordata; Mammalia; Carnivora; Felidae.